GGGUCAGUAGGUUGGUCGUGCCACCGGUACGUACUGGUCUCACUGAUUCCUUCUUCCUGAAGAACCGUAAUGCCAUUAAUUUGGUGUUGCGGGGAAACAGGACUGUUACUUUGAAAAAAUUAGAGUGUUUAAAGCAAGCUAACGCUUGAAUACAUUAGCAUGGAAUAAUGAAAUAGGGCGAUCGAUCCUAUUUUGUCGGUUUCUAGGAUUGACGUA
RNAcentral lists this ribosomal RNA (216 nucleotides) under Glomeromycotina sp. RNAcentral describes it as "partial small subunit ribosomal RNA". The stretch from base 40 to 216 matches the Rfam family "Eukaryotic small subunit ribosomal RNA", at positions 686 to 864 of the family's 1831-position model. The record is from RNAcentral. Lineage: Eukaryota; Fungi; Glomeromycota.